GAAACUAACAAGGAUUCCCCUAGUAACUGCGAGUGAAGCGGGAAAAGCUCAAAUUUAAAAUCUGGCAGCCUUCGGUUGUCCGAGUUGUAAUCUAGAGAAGUGUUAUCCGCGCUGGACCGUGUACAAGUCUCCUGGAAUGGAGCGUCAUAGAGGGUGAGAAUCCCGUCUUUGACACGGACUGCCAGGGCUUUGUGAUGCGCUCUCAAAGAGUCGAGUUGUUUGGGAAUGCAGCUCAAAAUGGGUGGUAAAUUCCAUCUAAAGCUAAAUAUUGGCGAGAGACCGAUAGCGAACAAGUACCGUGAGGGAAAGAUGAAAAGAACUUUGGAAAGAGAGUUAAACAGUACGUGAAAUUGCUGAAAGGGAAACGCUUGAAGUCAGUCGCGUUGUCUGGGAAUCAACCUUGCUUUUGCUGGGCUUACUUUCCAGAUAAUGGGUCAGCAUCAAUUUUGAUCGUUGGAUAAAGUCAGGAGGAAUGUGGCAUCUUCGGGUGUGUUAUAGCCUCUUGUCGCAUACAACGGUUGGGAUUGAGGAACUCAGCACGCCGAAAGGCCGGGUACUUGUACCACGUUCGUGCUUAGGAUGCUGGCAUAAUGGCUUUAAUCGACCCGUC
Molecule: ribosomal RNA, 610 nt
Filed under: Leratiomyces squamosus
Lineage: Eukaryota; Fungi; Basidiomycota; Agaricomycetes; Agaricales; Strophariaceae
Description: eukaryotic LSU rRNA
Rfam family: Eukaryotic large subunit ribosomal RNA
Source: RNAcentral